AUAACAGUUGGAAACGACUGCUAAUACCGCAUAAGCGCACGGUAUCGCAUGAUACAGUGUGAAAAACUCCGGUGGUAUAAGAUGGACCCGCGUCUGAUUAGCUUGUUGGUGAGGUAACGGCCCACCAAGGCGACGAUCAGUAGCCGGCCUGAGAGGGUGAACGGCCACAUUGGGACUGAGACACGGCCCAAACUCCUACGGGAGGCAGCAGUGGGGAAUAUUGCACAAUGGGGGAAACCCUGAUGCAGCGACGCCGCGUGAGUGAUGAAGUAUUUCGGUAUGUAAAACUCUAUCAGCAGGGAAGAUAAUGACGGUACCUGACUAAGAAGCACCGGCUAAAUACGUGCCAGCGGCCGCGGUAAUACGUAUGGUGCAAGCGUUAUCCGGAUUUACUGGGUGUAAAGGGUGCGUAGGUGGUAUGGCAAGUCAGAAGUGAAAGGCUGGGGCUCAACCCCGGGACUGCUUUUGAAACUGUCAAACUAGAGUACAGGAGAGGAAAGCGGAAUUCCUAGUGUAGCGGUGAAAUGCGUAGAUAUUAGGAGGAACACCAGUGGCGAAGGCGGCUUUCUGGACUGAAACUGACACUGAGGCACGAAAGCGUGGGGAGCAAACAGGAUUAGAUACCCUGGUAGUCCACGCCGUAAAC
Molecule: ribosomal RNA, 646 nt
Filed under: uncultured bacterium
Lineage: Bacteria
Description: bacterial SSU rRNA
Rfam family: Bacterial small subunit ribosomal RNA
Source: RNAcentral